RNAcentral lists this ribosomal RNA (468 nucleotides) under uncultured bacterium. Its description in RNAcentral is "partial 16S ribosomal RNA". It matches the Rfam family "Bacterial small subunit ribosomal RNA", at positions 28 to 507 of the family's 1533-position model. The record is from RNAcentral.
GACGAACGCUGGCGGCGUGCUUAACACAUGCAAGUCGAACGGAAACGCCCUGCUUUUGUUGGGUGCUCGAGUGGCGAACGGGUGAGUAACACGUGAGUAACCUGCCCUUGACUUUGGGAUAACUUCAAGAAACUGGGGCUAAUACCGGCUAGGAGCUCCUGCUGCCUGGUGGGGGUUGGAAAGUUUCGGCGGUUGGGGAUGGACUCGCGGCUUAUCAGCUUGUUGGUGGGGUAGUGGCUUACCAAGGCUUUGACGGGUAGCCGGCCUGAGAGGGUGACCGGCCACAUUGGGACUGAGAUACGGCCCAGACUCGUACGGGAGGCAGCAGUGGGGAAUAUUGCACAAUGGGCGGAAGCCUGAUGCAGCAACGCCGCGUGCGGGAUGACGGCCUUCGGGUUGUAAACCGCUUUCGCCUGUGACGAAGCGUGAGUGACGGUAAUGGGUAAAGAAGCACCGGCUAACUACGUG